UACGGAGGGUGCAAGCGUUAUCCGGAUUCACUGGGUUUAAAGGGUGCGUAGGCGGGUUGGUAAGUCCGUGGUGAAAUCUCCGAGCUUAACUCGGAAACUGCCGUGGAUACUAUCAAUCUUGAAUAUCGUUGAGGUAAGCGGAAUAUGUCAUGUAGCGGUGAAAUGCUUAGAUAUGACAUAGAACACCAAUUGCGAAGGCAGCUUACUGAGCGGUCAUUGACGCUGAGGCACGAAAGCGUGGGGAGCAAACAGG
RNAcentral lists this ribosomal RNA (253 nucleotides) under uncultured Flavitalea sp. Its description in RNAcentral is "partial 16S ribosomal RNA". It matches the Rfam family "Bacterial small subunit ribosomal RNA", at positions 524 to 776 of the family's 1533-position model. Lineage: Bacteria; Pseudomonadati; Bacteroidota; Chitinophagia; Chitinophagales; Chitinophagaceae. The record is from RNAcentral.